This 96-nucleotide signal recognition particle RNA is filed under the name Platysternon megacephalum (big-headed turtle). RNAcentral describes it as "Bacterial small signal recognition particle RNA". It matches the Rfam family "Bacterial small signal recognition particle RNA". From Rfam's summary of the family: The signal recognition particle (SRP) is a universally conserved ribonucleoprotein involved in the co-translational targeting of proteins to membranes. Lineage: Eukaryota; Metazoa; Chordata; Testudines; Platysternidae. The record is from Rfam by way of RNAcentral. RNAcentral also lists the same sequence under 2 other names.
GGGAGGUUGGCGCGGACGUGAUCCUCGCCAACCCGGUCAGGUCCGGAAGGAAGCAGCCGUAACGAGUUCUUCUCGGGUCGAUGUCAGCCUCCCACC